UACGGAGGGGGCUAGCGUUGUUCGGAAUUACUGGGCGUAAAGCGCACGUAGGCGGAUUGUUAAGUCGGGGGUGAAAUCCCGGGGCUCAACCCCGGAAUGGCCUCCGAUACUGGCAAUCUUGAGGUCGGGAGAGGUGAGUGGAAUGGCGAGUGUAGAGGGGAAAUUCGUAGAUAUUCGCCGGAACACCAGUGGCGAAGGCGGCUCACUGGCCCGAUACUGACGCGGAGGUGCGACUGCGUGGGGAGCAAGCAGG
Molecule: ribosomal RNA, 253 nt
Filed under: uncultured bacterium
Lineage: Bacteria
Description: partial 16S ribosomal RNA
Rfam family: Bacterial small subunit ribosomal RNA
Source: RNAcentral